This 497-nucleotide ribosomal RNA is filed under the name uncultured bacterium. Its description in RNAcentral is "partial 16S ribosomal RNA". It matches the Rfam family "Bacterial small subunit ribosomal RNA", at positions 28 to 507 of the family's 1533-position model. The record is from RNAcentral.
GAUGAACGCUGGCGGCGUGCCUAAUACAUGCAAGUCGAGCGAACAGACGAGUAGCUUGCUCCUCUGACGUUAGCGGCGGACGGGUGAGUAACACGUGGAUAACCUACCUAUAAGACUGGGAUAACUUCGGGAAACCGGUGCUAAUACCGGAUAAUAUAUUCAACUGCAUGGGUCAAUAAUGAAAGACGGUGUUGCUUUCACUUAUAGAUUGUUCCCCGCCGCAUUAGAUAGUUGGUAAGCUAACGGCUUACCAAGGCAACGAUGCGUAGCCGACCGGAGAGGCUGAUCGGCGACCCGGGAACGGAGCCAGGCACACGACUACUAAGAGAGGGAGCAGUAGGGAAUGGUCCGCAACGGGCGAGAGCAUGACGGAGCAACGCAGAGUGAGUGAUGAAGGUCCUCGGAUAGUAAAAAUCUGUUAUUAGGGAAGAACAAAUGUGUAAGUAGACAAGCACGUAUUGACGGUACCUAAUCAGAAAGGACCGGCUAACUACGUG